CGGGGAUCCAGCAGGGUGCCCACCCAGUAAUCAGCACAAGUUAGAAUGUGAGCAACUCGACAGUCGUUGCACAGGCACUUUGGUGACUCUAGAUAACCUCGGGCCGAUCGCAAAUCCCCGUGAUGGCUACAAAGCAUUCUGAUGUCUGCCCUAUCAUCUUUCAAUGAUACUUUCUGUGCCUACCAUGCUGACCACAGGUAACGGGGAAUCAGGGUUCGAUUCCGGAGAGGGAGCCUGAGAAACGGCUACCACAUCCAACGAAGGCAGCAGGCAUGCAAAUUCCCCACUCCCACCGCGGGGAGGUAGUGACG
Molecule: non-coding RNA, 311 nt
Organism: Pelobates cultripes (western spadefoot toad)
Lineage: Eukaryota; Metazoa; Chordata; Amphibia; Anura; Pelobatidae
Source: the annotation of a GenBank genome assembly